CUACGGGUGGCUGCAGUGGGGAAUUUUGGACAAUGGGGGCAACCCUGAUCCAGCCAUUCCGCGUGAGUGAAGAAGGCCUUCGGGUUGUAAAGCUCUUUCAGCAGGAACGAAACGGUGCGCCCUAACAUAGCGUGCUAAUGACGGUACCUGCAGAAGGAGCACCGGCUAACUACGUGCCAGCAGCCGCGGUAAUACGUAGGGUGCGAGCGUUAAUCGGAAUUACUGGGCGUAAAGCGUGAGCAGGCGGAUUGUUAAGCAGAUGUGAAAGCCCCGGGCUUAACCGGGGAAUGGCAUUUUGAACUGGCAGUCUAGAGUGUGUCAGAGGGGGGUGGAAUUCCACGUGUAGCAGUGAAAUGCGUAGAGAUGUGGAGGAACACCGAUGGCGAAGGCAGCCUCCUGGGAUAACACUGACGCUCAUGUACGAAAGCGUGGGUAGCAAACAGGAUUAGAUACCCUGGUAGUC
RNAcentral lists this ribosomal RNA (463 nucleotides) under uncultured bacterium. Its description in RNAcentral is "partial 16S ribosomal RNA". It matches the Rfam family "Bacterial small subunit ribosomal RNA", at positions 339 to 795 of the family's 1533-position model. The record is from RNAcentral.